CCUACGGGCGGCAGCAGUGGGGAAUAUUGCACAAUGGGGGAAACCCUGAUGCAGCGACGCCGCGUGAGUGAAGAAGUAUUUCGGUAUGUAAAGUUCUAUCAUCAGGGAAGAAAAUGACGGUACCUGAUUAAUAAGCCCCGGCUAACUACGUGCCAGCAGCCGCGGUUAUACGUAGGGGGCAAGCGUUAUCAGGAUUUACUGGGUGUAAAGGGAGCGUAGAGGGCCGCGCAAAUCUGGAGUGAAAUGCCGGGGCUUAACCCCGGGACUGCUUUGGAAACUGUGAAGCUAGAGUGCGUUAGAGGUAAGUGGAAGUCCUAGUGUAGCGGUGAAAUGCGUAGAUAUUAGGAGGAACACCAGUGGCGAAGGCAGCUUACUGGGCUGUAACUGACGUUGAGGCUCGAAAGCGUGGGGAGCAAACAGGAUUAGAUACCCUAGUAGUC
Molecule: ribosomal RNA, 440 nt
Filed under: uncultured bacterium
Lineage: Bacteria
Description: partial 16S ribosomal RNA
Rfam family: Bacterial small subunit ribosomal RNA
Source: RNAcentral